AGAGGUCGCGAGCGUUAAUCGGAUUUACUGGGCGUAAAGCGUGUGUAGGUGGUUGUACAAGUCGGUUGUGAAAUCCCCGGGCUCAACCUGGGAACUGCUUCCGAGACUGUGCGACUAGAGAUCGGUAGAGGGCGGUGGAAUUUCCGGUGUAGCGGUGAAAUGCGUAGAUAUCGGAAGGAACACCAAUGGCGAAGGCAGCCGCCUGGGCCUGAUCUGACACUGAGACACGAAAGCGUGGGGAUCAAACAGGAUUAGAUACCCUGGUAGUCCACGCCGUAAACGAUGGGUACUUGACGUCGGUACGCUCUGCGUAUCGGUGUCGUAGCUAACGCGAUAAGUACCCCGCCUGGGGAGUACGGCCGCAAGGUUG
This 370-nucleotide ribosomal RNA is filed under the name uncultured bacterium. RNAcentral describes it as "bacterial SSU rRNA". It matches the Rfam family "Bacterial small subunit ribosomal RNA", at positions 527 to 896 of the family's 1533-position model. The record is from RNAcentral.